UUAAACUGAAGAGUUUGAUCCUGGCUCAGAUUGAACGCUGGCGGCAUGCCUUACACAUGCAAGUCGAACGGCAGCACGGGUGCUUGCACCUGGUGGCGAGUGGCGAACGGGUGAGUAAUACAUCGGAAUGUACCUUGUAGUGGGGGAUAGCUCGGCGAAAGCCGGAUUAAUACCGCAUACGCUCUGAGGAGGAAAGCGGGGGACCUUCGGGCCUCGCGCUACAAGAGCAGCCGAUGUCAGAUUAGCUAGUUGGUGAGGUAAAAGCUCACCAAGGCGACGAUCUGUAGCUGGUCUGAGAGGACGACCAGCCACACUGGGACUGAGACACGGCCCAGACUCCUACGGGAGGCAGCAGUGGGGAAUUUUGGACAAUGGGCGCAAGCCUGAUCCAGCAAUGCCGCGUGUGUGAAGAAGGCCUUCGGGUUGUAAAGCACUUUUGUCCGGAAAGAAAUCCUCUGGGUUAAUACCUCGGGGGGAUGACGGUACCGGAAGAAUAAGCACCGGCUAACUACGUGCCAGCAGCCGCGGUAAUACGUAGGGUGCAAGCGUUAAUCGGAAUUACUGGGCGUAAAGCGUGCGCAGGCGGUUUUGUAAGACGGAUGUGAAAUCCCCGGGCUUAACCUGGGAACUGCAUUCGUGACUGCAAGGCUAGAGUAUGGCAGAGGGGGGUAGAAUUCCACGUGUAGCAGUGAAAUGCGUAGAGAUGUGGAGGAAUACCGAUGGCGAAGGCAGCCCCCUGGGCCAAUACUGACGCUCAUGCACGAAAGCGUGGGGAGCAAACAGGAUUAGAUAC
This 793-nucleotide ribosomal RNA is filed under the name Pandoraea apista. Its description in RNAcentral is "bacterial SSU rRNA". It matches the Rfam family "Bacterial small subunit ribosomal RNA", at positions 1 to 785 of the family's 1533-position model. The record is from RNAcentral. Lineage: Bacteria; Pseudomonadati; Pseudomonadota; Betaproteobacteria; Burkholderiales; Burkholderiaceae.